GGAGAGUUGACAGAGCGGUUGAAUGUACCGGUCUUGAAAACCGGCGUGGUUUAACGACCACCCAGGGUUCGAAUCCCUGACUCUCCGCCA
RNAcentral lists this transfer RNA (90 nucleotides) under Methylophaga thalassica. RNAcentral describes it as "tRNA-Ser". It matches the Rfam family "tRNA". From Rfam's summary of the family: Transfer RNA (tRNA) molecules are approximately 80 nucleotides in length. Their secondary structure includes four short double-helical elements and three loops (D, anti-codon, and T loops). The record is from RNAcentral. RNAcentral also lists the same sequence under 6 other names. Lineage: Bacteria; Pseudomonadati; Pseudomonadota; Gammaproteobacteria; Thiotrichales; Piscirickettsiaceae.